GAUGGACUUCCGGAGGAAGUACUGGGUGCGGGUACAGUUACAGCAUUUAAAAGGCAAUUGGGUCUGUGUCUCGUCGUUGCAUCAAGUCCGUGAGUGUCUCCGAAAAUGAACAUAACAUUUGGUGCCGUGACCAGGAUUGCAACAUGUACAGCAGUCUCAUGUGGAGUGCUGAAUAAGGGAUCGAUCGAGUGUCAGUGGAGUGAGACAGACAGGCUCGCAAGCUUCUGGCAACAAAUGGCCACAAAUCGAUCAAAGGUGAAAGUGACGGUGAACCAGACAGAACAGUCAGUGGCUGCAUAAAGCAGGAUGGCGUGGAUAUUGCAC
This is a long non-coding RNA of Stegostoma tigrinum, 324 nucleotides long. RefSeq lists it as uncharacterized. The record is from RefSeq and is a predicted model, not a curated record. NCBI's taxonomy places the organism in Eukaryota, Metazoa, Chordata, Chondrichthyes, Orectolobiformes, Stegostomatidae. The transcript is spliced from 3 exons.